UGGCGGACGGGUGAGUAACGCGUGGGUAACCUGCCUUACACAGGGGGAUAACACUUAGAAAUAGGUGCUAAUACCGCAUGAGCGCACAGGACCGCAUGGUCGAGUGUGAAAAACUGAGGUGGUGUAAGAUGGACCCGCGUCUGAUUAGCUAGUUGGUGAGGUAACGGCCCACCAAGGCGACGAUCAGUAGCCGGCCUGAGAGGGUGGACGGCCACAUUGGGACUGAGACACGGCCCAAACUCCUACGGAAGGCAGCAG
Molecule: ribosomal RNA, 258 nt
Filed under: uncultured bacterium
Lineage: Bacteria
Description: partial 16S ribosomal RNA
Rfam family: Bacterial small subunit ribosomal RNA
Source: RNAcentral